RNAcentral lists this ribosomal RNA (512 nucleotides) under uncultured bacterium. RNAcentral's name for it is "bacterial SSU rRNA". It matches the Rfam family "Bacterial small subunit ribosomal RNA", at positions 21 to 518 of the family's 1533-position model. The record is from RNAcentral.
GGCUUAGGACGAACGCUGGCGGCGUGCCUAAUACAUGCAAGUCGAGCGAAUGACGAGGAGCUUGCUCCUCUGAUUUAGCGGCGGACGGGUGAGUAACACGUGGGCAACCUGCCCUGUAGACUGGGAUAACUUCGGGAAACCGGAGCUAAUACCGGAUAAUACAUUUCACCUCAUGGUGAAAUGUUGAAAGGCGCUUCGGCGUCACUACAGGAUGGGCCCGCGGUGCAUUAGCUAGUUGGUGGGGUAACGGCCAACCAAGGCAACGAUGCAUAGCCGACCUGAGAGGGUGAUCGGCCACAUUGGGACUGAGACACGGCCCCAACUCCUACGGGAGGCAGCAGUAGGGAAUCUUCCACAAUGGACGAAAGUCUGAUGGAGCAACGCCGCGUGAGUGAUGAAGGUUUUCGGAUCGUAAAACUCUGUUGUAAGGGAAGAACAAGUACGUUAGGAAAUGAACGUACCUUGACGGUGCCUUAUUAGAAAGCCACGGCUAACUACGUGCCAGCCGCUGC